Molecule: long non-coding RNA, 500 nt
Filed under: Olea europaea subsp. europaea
Lineage: Eukaryota; Viridiplantae; Streptophyta; Magnoliopsida; Lamiales; Oleaceae
Source: RNAcentral
AUUUCUAUGUUAAUUAUUUAUGUUAUAUAACCUAUAUAUAAACCAAUUCUUACAUGUUGAUUUGCAUCGUCUUUCAGAUCCAAGGGAGUCGGAAUCAUUCCGUCCAGAUGACAUGCAUCACGGAAUGGAAGUGCGUUUAGGUAUGUCUAAAGGACCAGCGUGUCCCAGUUUCAUUUGAAGCGCUGAAAUUUUUUUAGGAACGAACUUUUGUGUUCUGCUUUGUGGUGCAACUGAAAUUAAGCUUGUUUUAAUGACUACAACUGACGGGAAUGGUAUUUUUAAAUAUUUGACCAACUUAAGAAGACAAAUUUCCCCCCUCCUUUCAUGUUACAUUUAUUUUUUAAAGUUUGAGACAUGGUGAAAAUGAUUAAUAGCAGCGAACAGGAAGCUUCAAAAUUUGACUAGAGAAAUAGAAUACUGAAAUGGUGUUCGUAUUGUUUGUGUAUGAGUUGUGAUGUAUAGAGUUAAUUGUUCCAAUGGUCACUAAACUUAUGUAUGUG